UCCCUCUCAGGGUCACACCUGGAGAGUUUCCAGUACUUUACCGGUCUUGGUUAUGGGAGGGAGAGUCAAGAAGAGGCAUGCCCAUUCCAUUCCUAGCUUGGGCAGUGGCUAGCGAGCGGAAGGCAAUCUGAAACAAGU
This is a small nucleolar RNA of Ornithorhynchus anatinus (platypus), 138 nucleotides long. The record is from RefSeq and is a predicted model, not a curated record. NCBI's taxonomy places the organism in Eukaryota, Metazoa, Chordata, Mammalia, Monotremata, Ornithorhynchidae.